AGCACGAGGUUACGCGGUCCUGGACACUAGGGGUCGCCACGUUGUUUGUGAUCCGCCAGAAAAUCCAGAGAAGAAGAAGAAGGAGCGCCACGUUUCCUGCCUGAGAGAAGGGGUGCUGGUGAAUUGGAGACACAGAAACACUGCAGUCUUUCCAGACAGAGAGGACUGCUGGUGAUACGCUCUGUGGGAACUAUUGAUGAGUCUUCAGGACCGCAACUGCUUUCUCAAAGGAGGACCAGCUCAUGGACGAGACGGACUGUCUGUGACCCAACUUCACACUUUGAAGCUGUGAUCUGAGUGACCUGAUGAAGCUCAGGUGUUCCUGGACCCAUCAGAGGACAGUGACAGCUGCAGCAUCAGGACAGUCUGUGUAUCCAAAGGAAGACUCAUCAGGAUGAACACUGACCGCAGAGCUCCAUUACCAGCUCACACUGCAGUAUACUAGAAACCAUAAACCUUGAUGGAGGACACGAUCUGCACAGCUCACAUUAAAGUUAGAGCUUUGUUACUUGCACUAUACACACACUUUAUAUUUCUGUGUAACUGUAAAUUUGAAUGAAACAUGAAUAAAGUGUUUUAUUUUUAA
Long non-coding RNA from Dicentrarchus labrax (European seabass), 586 nucleotides. RefSeq lists it as uncharacterized. The transcript is spliced from 5 exons. Lineage: Eukaryota; Metazoa; Chordata; Actinopteri; Moronidae. The record is from RefSeq and is a predicted model, not a curated record.